UACAGAGGUGGCAAGCGUUGUUCGGAAUUACUGGGCGUAAAGGGCGCGUAGGCGGUUCGAUAAGUCCCGUGUGAAAUCCCUCGGCUUAACCGGGGAACUGCGUCCGAUACUGGAUGGCUAGAGUGUGGGAGAGGGAUGCGGAAUUCCAGGUGUAGCGGUGAAAUGCGUAGAUAUCUGGAGGAACACCGGUGGCGAAGGCGGCAUCCUGGACCACGACUGACGCUGAGGAGCGAAAGCCAGGGGAGCAAACGGG
This 253-nucleotide ribosomal RNA is filed under the name uncultured bacterium. Its description in RNAcentral is "partial 16S ribosomal RNA". It matches the Rfam family "Bacterial small subunit ribosomal RNA", at positions 524 to 776 of the family's 1533-position model. The record is from RNAcentral.